UGUAGCUCAGUGGAUAGAGCAUCGGCCUCCGGAGCCGAGUGCGCAGGUUCGAUUCCUGCUAG
This 62-nucleotide transfer RNA is filed under the name marine eukaryotic metagenome. It matches the Rfam family "tRNA", at positions 6 to 65 of the family's 71-position model. Rfam says of the family: Transfer RNA (tRNA) molecules are approximately 80 nucleotides in length. The record is from RNAcentral.